Molecule: long non-coding RNA, 8805 nt
Organism: Antechinus flavipes (yellow-footed antechinus)
Lineage: Eukaryota; Metazoa; Chordata; Mammalia; Dasyuromorphia; Dasyuridae
Exons: 2
Source: RefSeq, a predicted model, not a curated record
AUGGCUCUGCUCUUGUUUUUAUUGCUUUCUUUUGUCCCACUUACUAGCUGGGGAACCUCAGGGAACUCACUCGCUCCUUUGUCCCAGCCUUGGUUUUCUCAAUUACCUGGCUCUGAGGCCCCUUUCAGCUGCAUUAAAUAAGAUACACAGAGCAGAUCCAGGUGAUCUUGGAGGGGAGCUCAGAAAGUAGCUGAUGUUGUGAAAGAAGCAGAAGGAACGCCUUCUAGGCCUAGGAGACAGCCAAUGCGGAGACACAAAGAGAUGAGAAAUGGACUGUCAAGUGUGAGAAAUGGCAAAUAGGCCUGUGUGGCUGGACUGUAGAACACCUGGAAGGAAGGGAUGAAUGAGAAGACAGAUAAUGUUGUGAUAACAGAGAGAUGAGAUGGAACCAAAGAGGGAUGAAGAUUCUCCAGAGUCGUACACCUUAGCUUAGGAGAAGCACCAUCCAAGCAGGUUAAUAGAAAAUGAGAGCCCAGAUCACGUAAUGAAAGGGUAAAAUGGUUGGUGGAGAACCUGUGAACUCCAAUGGUGUCCACAAAUAUCCAUAAGAGAACUAAAGGAAAGAACCCAGCAAGGUGGGUGCUCUGGAUGGAUGAGCAACAUGGUUCAGCAUGGAUGGACGGCUACGUACAAUGGGGAAGACAACAUUAACACUGAUGAGCACGUACUGCCACUGAGGAAUUGACAGAUAUUUAAGUAUAUACACACACAUAUAUGUAUGGAUGUAAUAUUUGCUAAACCUGACCCAAAGAUUAGCUAAUGAACCAAGAAGAGUAAGAAGAACCAGAACAACAGUAAUAGACAAGGAUGACAGUCAUGUAAAAUGAACAUGAAUGCUAGUCAUUCUAAUGACCAACUGGGCCCUGGUGAAGAUAGGAGGAACUAUCUCUUUCCUUUUGGAUUUUGGGUAUAGGAUGGGAGGGAGGGAUCAUAAAUUAGGAAUAUCCCAUACACUGACAGAUGUGGUCACUGUGUCUUUUUUUUGUUGUUGUUGUUUAACCAUUUCUCCUUAUAACAAAGGUAGACUCAUCAUUGGGUACGUAGGUGGUAGUGGAUAUACUCGGAAAUGACUGAUGUAAAGACAAAAGGCAUCAAAAAACUUUAAGAAAGAAAGAGUCAAAGCAUCCCCUCCACAUUCAGUAAAAAGGAUUUUUAUUGAAGCAGUGAAAUCAAACUAGAACAUCUUAUCCCCUCAAGAACACUUUUUUCCUUCCCCAAGGAAGUGCUGAAAGAUCUUCAUUUAUUUGUUUGAUUUUAAAGAAAAUGUUAUGAUAGGGUCAUUAUUGUAGCAUAGGUUUAAAUCUGGAAGGCACCUUCCAAGUCAUGCACUCUUAUUUAAACCCCCAUUUGUAUAUGAGGAACCUGAGAAGCCCAGACCUUGUACUGAGUCACGUAGGCUUUAAGAGAUUUGAAUCUGAGCCUUUAGGCUCCAAACCCAAUACAUGUUCCAUUCACCACACUGCAGGAAGUCAAGCAAAAAUAUUGGUUAUUGCUUUGGACAUCUGUCAAGCAAAUUAUGCCUGAAUUUUUUUUAAAGAAAGGGUUCAGAAAUGGGCUUCUUAGGAAUACUGAAAUUGAUGAGAGGUCAAUUUUUUUUAAAAAUACAGAACAAUUUUAGAUUAUCCAUUGAAGGCAUUACAGUGUAGAUAAUUGAUUUUUGACUGAAAGAAUAAUGAUAAAUGACUCAUUUCAGUACUGUGUCAGGGUAUGCAAAUUGCUUUUCCCAUAAAAGCCUUGUGAAGUGGGUCAUAAGAUUAUAGGGGCACAGGAUUAUCAAUGUAGAGCUGGAAGAAACCUUGGAAGUCAUUUAAUCAAAUCUCCUCAUUUUAAAGAUGACAAAACUAGGACCCAGAGAAGUUACGUUGUUUGUCCAAGAUCCCAUAGCUAGCAAGUAUAUAACAGGAUUUGAACCUCUGGUCUUUCAAGUCCAACAACAAAACAAAAUAAAAAGUUGAUUGUUGUGGCAUCCAUUCUGAAUCACUUGUUGAGACUGAUACUGAAAUUCAUCUGCAUUCUCAUAUAUAUACUCAUUUGACAAGGGUGUAGAAUCAUGCUGGCAAAGACACAACUACAUAGGUUCAAAGUUGACCAUCUGAAAUAAGCCUAAGAUGCCUGUUGACAAGUGUAUGGCCACAGCCGCCUACCAGACUUUAUGGAACAAUCUUGUCCCUUGAUAAGAAAAACAGCAUGGUAAGGCUGGUCUAAAGGGAAAUGGAAGAAUCUGAAAUUUCUUUUGUUAGAUUGGAUGGGUUCUAGUCCAAUCAUCAUGUUUUCAAGGUAACAUCUGGGAAAGACUUUUGAAAAGAAAUAGAAGAUGAAGGGGAAGGAAAAAUCUGAAAUCUGAAUGCCAAAAGGGUUUUCAACUGGGCCUACUUAACAUUUCGGGGAUAUGAUUUUGUGAAAGUGAAAGCAUUUUGCUAAAAUGGGGGCAACAUGAACUCUUUCGCUACAGUUGGUCUCUCAAAGUUGCCCUUAAAAUAUAUCCCUUACCCCAUUUCAGAAUACAGAAUUUAAGGUCAGAUAUUCCAAAGAGAAGAAAAUUCUCCAUCUUUAUCCUGACCAUGUUUAUUCUUAUAUUCUGAUGGAUUUCUGAAGUGUAAUAGUUGACACAUUUGCUUCACACGUGAAAGGUCCCUGGUUCAACUCCAAAUGGAGGCAUGUUUCUAAAAAAGUCAAGUUAGGGAGGUGGUAGAUAUGGAAAAUGUACCCUGUGGGGAGUCUGAGGAUCUCAGUUCAAAUCCAAUCCUUGAUGUUUUCAUUAUGACUUAGGGUAAGUAAACCACUUAGCUUCCCUGGGACUCAGUUUCCUCUUCUAUAAAACAAGAUAGCUGCUAAGAUUCCUUCCAACUCUAACUUUUUGUGACUCAAUGAUGUAGGCAAACCUUUCCAUGGAAACUCCACCUACCACGUCUACAAUGAAUCAGAUUAUUGUGGCAGGUACAUGGAAAAUGAUUUGGGGGAAGGAGAUGCUGGAGCCUAGGACUCAAUUAAGAGGCUCUUGAAAUAGUGUAGAUGAAAGGUGAUGAAAUCUUGAUCUUAGAAAUUGACCAUGUCAGUGGUGACAAAGGGAUGGAUGCAAGAGAUGCUGGGGAGGGAGGGAGAAUCUACAAGAACUGAUUAGCUAUGGCAGGUGAGAAAAAAAGGGAGACUGUGACACCAUGAAUAGAAAUCUGAUUAAGAAAAAGAGUAGGGGUAGCCCUAGCAGAAAAAGACCAAAAACUUUUUCUUUGCAUUUUUAGAGUCCAGAACUAGAGACUUUGAAGGUUAGACUCAAUCUAUAACCUUUUCUUAGACCACUGAAUUCAGACUGCUCUGUGCAGAACACUGGGCUAGUUCUGGAGAGAAAUAUAAUAUUUAGAUAAAUUCAAAUUCAGCAGACAUUUUUUUGAAGCAUACAACACUGUGUUAAGUAGUAAGGGAAUUUAUAAGUUUUAGAUGUACUGAGCUUGAGAUACUUAUGGUGUUACCCAGGAAGAAAUCUGGAAUUAUUCCGUACUGGGUGAUGUGGGAUUGGAGAAGAGGGGAAAUGUACAGAUCAUAGGAUCUGAGAAUUGGAAGCAGAGGGAAACUUUGAGCACAUCUUAGUCCAAUCCCAUCAUUUUACAGAAGAAGAAACUAAGCCAUAGAGAGGUGGAUCAUCUCACCCAACAUCAUAUCAAUAAUAAAGAGCAGAGUUGAGAUCUGAAUCCACAUCCUCUGUGCUUUUGCACAGAGAUUUCAGCCACUGACUAAACUUAAUGAAUCAUGUCUUCUACUUGUCACUUCAAAAGCUGAUGGUUGACCCUAUGGAUGCUAAUGAGAUUUUCCAGUAAGGAGUCUUUGGGAAGUCUCCUGGAUCCCUCCUUAGAGGGAUGUUGAUCCAACAAAGGAGUCUGAGGUAGAGAAGUCAGAUGGAUAGGAAGAGAGCUAUGAGAAAGCAGUAUAUGGAGGAAGGUUGACUCAGAUCUUAGAUUAUUUUCUUUUUUUGAGUUGACAGCUUGUUUCAGGUUGAAUCUGAUAUUAUUGAACACAUUCUUUUCAUUAGAUUAUUUUCCUUACCAAGGUAAUGAGCUUUGCACAGGAAAGAAAAAAUUUAAAAAAAUAGCCAGGAAAAGUGAAUACUAGUAGGUAUUGACUCAGUAAGAAAGUAUCUGGCUAUUCUUGAUGAAAGUCAUCCAGCCCAAAUGAACUACCUACUAAGUGACUUAAAAGAUUGAAUCUUGAGUGAUAUUUGAAAGAAGGAGGAUUAUGAUGAAAGGAUUAGAGAAGGGCAGAUAUCCCGAUUUUAAAAGAAAGGGAAAAGAAUAAAGUCUAUAAAAUGGGCCAGUAAGUUUGACUAUCAACAUUUUAAAGAGGGAUCAGUAAAGGGUUGGUUAAAAACUUCUAGAAAAGGAAAGGAUGAUCUCAAAGAUAGAGGAUGACUACAGCAAGAGGAAGUCAUGGCAAAAGCAGCUCAUUUCCUUUUUUUGAUCACAUUACCAGAUGGGUAGGUCAAGGGGAUGGAAAGCUAUCAUUUCCCUAAAAUGAAGUUGAGCAUUUAACAAAUUCUCUCAUCCUAUUCUUGUCAAAGAGAGUUAAAAGUACAGGUAGGAUGUUUUGUAAUUGGUUUAAAGAUCAGACCCACAAAGUUGUUAUUAAUCUAAUGAACCUAUAUCAGUUUGGAAGGAGGUCUCCAUUGGGAUGCUCCAAGUUGGUUUUGUACUGUUUUCACAUUUUCAUAAACGAUUGGGAUAAAACCACAGAUGGUAUGCUUAUCAGAACUAAAGAUGGCAUAAAGCUAGGGGGGAUGAAACACACUGGAUCAAAGCCAGGGUCUGGAAGCGUUAAUAAACUGGAACACUGGAGCAAAUCUAAUAUGAUGAAAUUGCAUAGGGCUCAAUAUAAAGUCUUACAAUAGGGUUCAAAAAAUCAACUUCAAAUGUGCAAUUGAAGAAAGUAUAACCAGGAGCUAUGAAUACAUAGUCUUUCAGUUAAAGAAGUUGGGGUGCUUUAGUGGAAUACAAGGAGAACAUGAGUCCCAUAUGUAAACAUGGAAGCCCCCAAUAGCUCAUGUGAUCUUGGGCUGCAUUAAUAGAGGGACUGAAUCUGGGAAGAUGAACCUGCUCUCUUCCAUUUUGGACAGACCAUAUCUGUGGUCCUGUGUUCAGGUCUGAGAAUUGUGUUUUAGGAAGGACGUAGAUCAGGGGAAGGCAUCCAAAAGAAUUUAUGCUACAUAAAAACCAGUGGGUUUUUUUGUUUUUUAUUUCUUCUUUUUUUUAAACAUCUUGUUUAGCUAUUUAGCUUGGAGAACAGACAUGAUUGUGGUAUGGGGUAAAUAUAAUAGCUGUUCUCAAGUAUUUGAAGAAUUGUUUUGUGGAAGAAGGAUUAAUCUUGUUCUAAUUCUCAGGUGACAAAACUAGGACCAUUGGACAGAAAUUGCAAAGUGCAACAUCUAUGCUUGAGUCAGAACGCUCCCAUGAAAGUAGAGCUGUCCAAAGAGGGGUUGGGCUGUUUAGGAAGUACCAGAAGUCAUCAGAUAACUAUGUGUCAGAGAUCUUGGAGAAGGGAUCCCUUUAUUGGGUAAGGCUUCUUUCUAUUUUUAAGAUUCUCUGAUUCUCUUAUCUGCCCCGUCCCACCUCAUUUUAUUCAAUGUUCGAGUCUUUUUCUUCACACUUUAAAAAGUCCAGAAGUAGGGACCUUGAAGGUUAGAAACAACCCCUUAGGCCAAUCAAUUCAGAUUGUUCUGUGCAGAACAAUGGACUAGCUCUGGAGAGGAAUAUAAUAUUUAGAUAAAUUCAAAUUCAGCAGAUAUUUUUAAAGCAUAUGAUACUGUGUUAAGUGGCGAGGAGGAAUGAACUAUUUAGAAGAGAUUCAGGUUCUGUAUUAUGGAUCUUAGCAUCUAGAAGGGAGAGAUUCAGUUAUACAAAUAACUAAACUACAUGACAUGAAUGGAGCACAACUAAUUAAAUGCAUAAUUGCAUUUAUUGGAGGGAGUACUACCCCUAUUAUGCCAAAUUUCAAGUAAGUGUAAUGUCUUAUGGGCUCACCAGAGAAGAGCCUUAUUGUGCUAUGUGAAGUUUGAGGAGAAAAACUGUUAUUAGCCAGAAGGAACUGAGAAGGCAGAAGCUGAACUGAUUUUAUUCCAGAGUCUGUAGAGUUUAUGGGCAGAUUUCACAGGUUCCAUGAACUUAGAUGGGGGAAAGAUCACAUUUUAAAUUUUCACUGUUUUCUAAAUUUCUUAUUUAAAACUUAUUUUUAAAAAAUACUAUUUCCCUGGAUUUCCAAAGGAAGUCAUGACAAACAAACAAAAAAUGGCUAAGAAUCCCUGGGUUAGAACAUCUAAUGCAGAGAGUCAUGGUCCUAGACUUUGGAAGACUGAUUGCCAGACCAAGAAACUUGAGGUUUAUUGGGUUGGAAACAAAGGCACACUGAAGGCUUCUGGGAAGAAGCAAGAGCAUGAGUGGAUAAGUACAUAAGAAAGGCAAGUAUAGUGUAACAUGAAGGCUAAACUGGAUCAUCGGAAGAGGUGGAGGCAGAAAGAUUUGUUGGCAGGCUGUAUUAAGGAAAGUGGUAAUUAGGGUUAAUGACAGGAAGUAUUUGGCGUAGGAAUGUAGACAAGGAAUAUUGCAGAAAUAUAACAACCAACACUCAGUAAACAAAUUUUAUAUAUAUGUAUAUACACAUACGUGCAUAUAUUACAUAUGUAUGUGUACAUAUAAAAUAUUUCAAAUAUAACAUAUAAAUUUCAUAUGUAUAUGAAGAAAAAAGAUCAUAGAUCUGGAAGGAAUUUCAGGGGAUGUCUACUUUAAUAUCUUGAUUUUAUAGAUGAGUAAACUGAGGCUCAGGGACAUUAAACAGCUAGAUGGCAUAUUGAGAGAAAGUUCUGGACUUGGUGACAGGAAUAUCUGAGUUCAGAUCCUACCUCAGAUACCCACUUAACUGUGUGAUCCCGGAAAGCCACUUGACCUAUUCAGAUCAGUUUAUAGGAUAUAUUAGUAGUAUCUCUAUAUCUGGGUUAUUGAGGGUCUAAUGGGAUAAUUUAUAUAUAUUAUAAAUAUAUAUAUUUAAAGUGCUAUAUAAUGCUAGUGUUGAUGACGAUGAUUCUACUACUACACCUACAACAACUACUACUAUUACUACUCCUAAGUCCUCCUAUUCUCACUUCCACCUCCAUUCCUACUCUUCUGUCUAUUAUUAAGUGACUAGCCUGAGGUCACAUAGGCAGUAAAUUAUUGAAGUUAGAACUUAGGAACAACUGAUCCACAGUGACAAGAAUAGGGCAACAUUCAUCCUUUUGGUCUCUUUCAGGGUGAGUUUUUAACAGUCUUUCCAGUGGCAACCUGACUAUCGCUGACUGGGCAGUUCUUGUCUGCAGGAGCUUCCUUUUGCUUAUUCCCAUCACCUUUGCCCAGGAGCCAGCAAUCUUCCACUAUUGGGCUUAGAGCAGUGGAGGAGAUGGACUCUUUUCCCCUAUCCUUUGGGCCUGGUGGUUCCAACAACAUCUCCCUUCCUUCCUCUUGCAAACAAAGAAGCAGAAGAAGCACAACUUCCAGGCAAUAGCGUGUGCUAAUGGAACAAGAAGGUAAACAAAGGCACACCAGGUCUCUUAAAUUAUGCAGUGUCUAAUUGGAAUCAUGGAGGUAAUCCUAGUUUCCCUCAGGAUAAACUAGAAGAAGAGAUUUUAAAAGAAGUUUUAGGGGGCAGUUAGAUGGUGCAAUGGAUAGAAUAUCAGCCCAACUGCCUGGCCAAAAAUAAAAUCCCUCUAAUUUAUAAAGUGCUUUGAGAUGUGCAAAAUGUUUUGUUUACACAUGCCAUCCUCAUAGCAAUUCUGGGAAGCAGGUAAUCUCUAUUUGCAUAUGAAAAAAUUGAUGAAAGAGGUCAAGGGACUUGUCUAGAGUUAUACACCUAGCAAGGUUCUGAACGCAAAUCUUUUUAUUUUUGCUGAGACAGUUGGGAUUAAGUGACUUGCUCAGGGUCACACAGCCAGGAAGUGUUAAGUGUCUGAGGCCAGAUUUGAACUCAGGUCCUCCUGACUCCAGGGCCAUUACUCUACCUAUUAGAGCCCCGCUGCUCACUUUUGAAAUCUGGCUUCUAUUUUCUCAGGUCGGGAGAGUGACAUUUGGAAUGGAAGGCACAGAAAAAAAUUGAUAACUAAAGUAAGGUGAUGAUAAGGGAGCACUAGGUCCCCAAUUUCACGCAGAUGAAUCACAGUCCCUAGAGAGGAAUGACUACUAAGUCAUCAUCAUCUGCUGGUCUACCAUGGGGAGGACUGAGCCUCUGGAGCCACUUAUUAAAACCUUGACCAUCUGCACAUUCACAGAUCUGUAAAACGAGAACACUAAUCUAGAAGACCUUCGAAGGUUUCUUCCAGCUCCACACUGUUGGUCCUAUCCCUGGGGGCGGCCAAGCGUUACCCAGUUUCCCAAAGAGGAAAGAGAAUGGAACCUGUAAACAAUGGGCAAGUGAGCUUGACUGAUUCCUAGCUGAAUUCUAGAAUCCAUCCAUUAUGGAGGGUGACUGAACAUUUAAUCAGGAAUCCGUGGUGACAAAAGAGCAGCAUGGCUCCAUCCAGAACAAGUCAUGCCAGACCAACCGUAUUUCCUCUUUUUCACAUCUACUAAAAUGCAGCCAGUACCUCUUCUCAUUCGAUGUUCCCACUGUAACCAAGAGAAACAUCUGAGCAAAAUCAACUGCUCCAACAACCCGAUUGGACAACAUAUGCUACAUUCUGAAUCCAUAUUCCCUUUGCCACUUUACCUGAUAGCUUUACAAGAAAGCUAUCAAGGACCAAGAGUGAGCAUUACAAUUCAUUAAAACUCAACCGUCAAUUAGGGUUGUUUUAAUUUA